Non-coding RNA from Nemania sp. FL0031, 111 nucleotides. The record is from the annotation of a GenBank genome assembly. NCBI's taxonomy places the organism in Eukaryota, Fungi, Ascomycota, Sordariomycetes, Xylariales, Xylariaceae.
GGUCCCAUAGCUCAGUUGGUUAGAGCGUCGUACUAAUAUUAUAACUUCCCCUAAUCAGGACUAUAACAUUGGUAAAUGCGAAGGCCGUGAGUUCAAGCCUCACUGGGACCA